Molecule: ribosomal RNA, 253 nt
Filed under: uncultured bacterium
Lineage: Bacteria
Description: partial 16S ribosomal RNA
Rfam family: Bacterial small subunit ribosomal RNA
Source: RNAcentral
GACGUAGGGCGCGAGCGUUGUCCGGAUUUAUUGGGCGUAAAGAGCUCGUAGGCGGCUUGUCGCGUCGACUGUGAAAUCCCGCGGCUCAACUGCGGGUCUGCAGUCGAUACGGGCAGGCUAGAGUUCGGUAGGGGAGACUGGAAUUCCUGGUGUAGCGGUGAAAUGCGCAGAUAUCAGGAGGAACACCGAUGGCGAAGGCAGGUCUCUGGGCCGUUACUGACGCUGAGGAGCGAAAGCGUGGGGAGCGAACAGG